Molecule: ribosomal RNA, 308 nt
Filed under: Mantella bernhardi
Lineage: Eukaryota; Metazoa; Chordata; Amphibia; Anura; Mantellidae
Description: partial 16S ribosomal RNA
Rfam family: Bacterial large subunit ribosomal RNA
Source: RNAcentral
GAAGGUUAUACUGUCUCCUUUUUCUAAUCAGUGAAACUGAUCUCUCCGUGAAGAAGCGGAGAUUUUUUUAUAAGACGAGAAGACCCCAUGGAGCUUUAAACCCAAUUGUACUCCUAUUCCUUAUUACUGCUUAAACUAUGGAAUCUACACACUUGGUUUUAGGUUGGGGUGACCACGGAGCACAAUUUAGCCUCCAUGAUGAACGGGACUACCCCCUUAUCUAAGAAUAACAUUUCUAAGAAUUAAUAUUUUAACAUAAAAUGAUCCGUCAAUCGAUCAACGAACCAAGUUACCCUGGGGAUAACAGC